RNA transcript from Zalophus californianus (California sea lion), 2060 nucleotides. It is a transcript of the gene named acyl-CoA synthetase short-chain family member 3, mitochondrial-like, with no coding region annotated. The transcript has a single exon. The record is from RefSeq and is a predicted model, not a curated record. Lineage: Eukaryota; Metazoa; Chordata; Mammalia; Carnivora; Otariidae.
AUGAAGCCGUCCUGGCUGCAGCGUCGCAAAGUCACCGGAGCCAGGGGACUCGGGGGGUCCCUGCCUGGGUCCUCUCCGGCCCAGGGAGCCGGCCCGGCCCACAGGGCGUACGUGGCCCCCGGCCCGCGGGGCACUCUCGGGGGCCGGGGCUGCCGAGUGCUGUCGUCUGCCGGUGGUGGCGGCGAGUACAAGCCCCACUUCGCGGCCUAGGUGGCCGACCCCGAGCGGUUUUGGGGCAAAGCGGCCGAGCAGAUCAGCUGGUACAAGCCCUGGACCAAAAUGCUGGAGAACAGAUACCCACCUUCCACGAGUUGGUUUGUGGAAGGAAUGCUUAACAUUUGUUACAAUGCCAUCGAUCGUCAUAUUGUAAAAUGGUCAAGGAGAUAAGAUUGCUAUCAUCUACGACCGUCCUGUUACAAACACUAAAGCAACUAUUACCUACAAAGAGGUUCUGGAGCAGGUCUCUAAGCUGGCAGGUGUUUUGGUCAAGCAUGGUGUCAAGAAAGGUGACACCAUGGUUAUCUACAUGCCCAUGAUCCUGCAAGCGAUGUAUACCAUGCUGGCAUGGGCAAGGAUAAGAGCCAUCCACAGUCUCAUAUUUGGGGGAUUUGCAUCCAAAGAACUAAGCAGUCGUAUUGAUCAUGCAAAGCCCAAGGUGGUUGUUACAGCAUCAUUUGGGAUUGAACCUGGAAGAGUAGAAUACAUUCCCCUUCUAGAAGAAGCACUGAGACUGGGACAACACAAACCAGAUAACGUGCUCAUUUAUAAUCGUCCAAAUAUGGAGGCAGUUCCUUUGGCUCCAGGUCGUGACCUUGAUUGGCAUGAAGAGAUGGCCAAAGCACAGUCACAUGACUGUGUUCCUGUUCUUUCAGAACACCCGCUGUAUAUUCUUUACACAUCCGGAACAACAGGGCUGCCCAAGGGUGUUGUUAGACCCACUGGGGGAUAUGCUGUGAUGCUAAACUGGAUAAUGUCUUCUAUCUAUGGACAUAAACCUGGAGAGGUGUGGUGGGCAGCCUCUGACUUAGGCUGGUUUGUUGGUCAUUCCUAUAUCUGUUAUGGACUUCUUCUGCAUGGGAACAUGACAGUCCUAUAUGAGGGGAAGCCUGUGGGAACACCAGAUGCUGGUGCUUAUUUCCGCGUGCUCGCGGAGCAUGGAGUAGCUGCCUUGUUUAUAGCGCCGACUGCAAUUAGAACCAUCUGUCAACAGGACCCUGGGGCAGCCUUGGGGAAGCCGUACUCUCUGACAAGGUUCAAAACAUUAUUUAUGGUUGGAGAACGAUGUGAUGUGGAGACCCUGGAAUGGUCCAAAAAGGUCUUCAGAGUACCUGUCUUAGACCACUGGUGGCGGACUGAGACUGGAUCCCCAAUUACGGCAUCAUGCAUUGGAUUAGGUAAUUCUAAAACACCUCCUCCAGGACAAGCAGGAAAAAGUGUUCCAGGAUACAAUGUUAUGAUUUUGGAUGACAACAUGCAAAAACUGAAGGCUCGAUGUUUAGGAAAUAUUGUGGUAAGUUGCCAUUACCACCUGGGGCUUUUUCAGGACUCUGGAAGAAUCAGGAAGCAUUCAAGCAUUUAUACUUUGAAAAAUUUCCUGGAUACUAUGACACCAUGGAUGCUGGUUACAUGGAUGAAGAAGGCUAUUUAUAUAUUAUGUCUCGAGUUGAUGAUGUGAUAAAUGUUGCAGGUCACAGGAUUUCUGCAGGUGCUAUUGAAGAGUCAGUCGUUUCCCAUGGUACUGUGGCCGACUGUGCUGUUGUCGGCAAGGAAGAUCCUUUGAAAGGUCAUGUGCCCUUAGCCCUCUGUGUGUUGAGAAAAGAUAUAAAUACAACAGAGGAACAAGUUUUGGAAGAGAUUAUAAACCAUGUGAGACAGAGCAUUGGCCCUGUGGCUGCGUUUCGAAAUGCAGUGUUUGUCAAACAUUUACCCAAAACGAGGGCUGGCAAAAUUCCUCGGUGGGCUCUGUCUGCCCUUGUCCACGGCAAGCCCUAUAACACCUACAAUCAAAGACCCCGAGCAUUUUUGGGCACACAGAAGAAGUGCUGAAGCAGUCAUCAUGA